AACGCUAGCGGCAGGCUUAACACAUGCAAGUCGAGGGGUAACAGGAGUGCUUGCACUCGCUGACGACCGGCGCACGGGUGCGUAACGCGUAUAGAACCUACCUUUUACAGAGGGAUAGCCUUUAGAAAUGAAGAUUAAUACCUCAUAGUAUUGAGAAUUGGCAUCAAUUUUUAAUUAAAGAUUUAUCGGUAAAAGAUGGCUAUGCGUCCUAUUAGCUAGAUGGUAAGGUAAUGGCUUACCAAGACUACGAUAGGUAGGGGUCCUGAGAGGGAGAUCCCCCACACUGGUACUGAGACACGGACCAGACUUCUACGGGAGGCAGCAGUAAGGAAUAUUGGACAAUGGAGGAAACUCUGAUCCAGCCAUGCCGCGUGCAGGAAGAAUGCCUUAUGGGUUGUAAACUGCUUUUAUACAGGAAGAAAACUUGGUAUGUAUACCAAUUUGACGGUACUGUAAGAAUAAGGAUCGGC
Molecule: ribosomal RNA, 470 nt
Filed under: uncultured Polaribacter sp.
Lineage: Bacteria; Pseudomonadati; Bacteroidota; Flavobacteriia; Flavobacteriales; Flavobacteriaceae
Description: bacterial SSU rRNA
Rfam family: Bacterial small subunit ribosomal RNA
Source: RNAcentral